AGCUCCCCGAGUGGUUGGGACGAUUAUUGGGUCUGAAGCGUCCGUAGCCGGCCGGAAAAGUUCCCCGUUAAAUCUGGCGAUCCAAUCGUUGGGCUGCGGGGAAUACUCUUCGGCUUGGGGGCGAGGGAGGUCGGCGGUAGUCCCGGGGUAGGGGCGAAAUCCUAUAAUCCCGGGAGGACCACCAGUGGCGAAGGCGGCCGACUAAAACGCGCCCGACGGUGAGGGACGAAAGCUGGGGGAGCGAACGG
RNAcentral lists this ribosomal RNA (248 nucleotides) under uncultured crenarchaeote. RNAcentral describes it as "partial 16S ribosomal RNA". It matches the Rfam family "Archaeal small subunit ribosomal RNA", at positions 478 to 726 of the family's 1478-position model. The record is from RNAcentral. Lineage: Archaea; Thermoproteati; Thermoproteota.